AGAAAUGACACACAGAAAGGGCUUGAGUCCAGGAAUGUUGGGAGUUGCAGUCCAAAACACCUGGACAGAAGGCCCAAGUUGGACCAUGCCUGAUCUACAAGGCCAUUCGCAUCAAUACAUUUCCAGAUGGAAGUUGAUCCCAGCAACCUCCUUCCUCUUGGAACGUUUUGUUGGGAAAGUGGGCUUAUUAACAAAAGACCCUCCCCAUUAGCGCAGAGCAGAGCAACGUAUUAGCAGCAGCGUGAUAAAAGGAACACAAAAAGACACAGACCAAUGUUGUCCCUUCCUUAGGAGGCUUUUCUUUGUAGCAAAAGAAAAAGUUGCACUAUUUCUGUAACAGAAAGUUCUUUAUACUUCCUUCUUUGCUUCCACGCUGGGCUUCUUUCUCAUGCAGAUAAACAGCUUCCAGCUUCACUCUCACAGAGCCUGCUCUCACACCAAACUUACACAGGAGCUUCACACGGUAGCUUUACACGCAGCAGCCUUCACACUGAAGCUUCACACACACGAGGCCUUCAUUUCGGUCCUCUCUCACUGAAGCGUCUCACAUCAAGCCUUCUUACACAAAGCUCUUUAUACUUCCUUCUUUGCUACCACGCUGAGCUUCUUUCUCAUGCAGAUAAAGUACUUCCAGCUUCGCUCUCACAGAGCCUCCUCUCACACCAAACUUACACAGGAGCUUCACACGGUAGCUUUACACACAGCAGCCUUCACACUGAAGCUUCACACACACAAGGCCUUCAACUUGGGCUUCUCUCACUGAAGCGUCUCACAUCAGGCCUUCUCACACUGCUUCUCACACCAGGCCUUCUAACACAAAGCUCUUUAUACUUCCUUCUUUGCUUCCACACUGGGCUUCUUUCUCAUGCAGAUAUAUACCUGCCAGCUUCGCUCUCACAGAGCCUCCUCUCACACCAAACUUACACAGGAGCUUCACACGCCUCCUUACACAAAGUUCUUUAUACUUCCUUCUUUGCUUCCACGCUGGGCUUCUUUCUCAUGCAAAUAAACAGCUUCCAGCUUCGCUCUCACAGAGCCUCCUCUCACACCAAACUUACACAGGAGCUUCACACGGUAGCUUUACACGCAGCAGCCUUCACACUGAAGCUUCACACACACGAGGCCUUCAACCUGGGGCUUCUCUCAUGUAACACAUAUAAAGUACUUUAUACUUCCUUCUUUAUAUCCACGCUGGGCUUCUUUCUCAUGCAGAUAAACAGCUUCCAGCUUUGCUCUCACAGAGCCUCCUCAAACCAAACUUACACAGGAGCUUGACACAGUAGCUUUACAUGCAGCAGCCUUCACACUGAAGCUUCACACACACAAGGCCUUCAACCUGAGGCUUCUCUCAUGUAACACAUAUAAAGUACUUUAUAUUUCCUUCUUUCCUUCCACGCUGGGCUUCUUUCUCAUGCAGAUAAAUACCUUCUAGUCUCACUCUCACAGAGCCUUCUCUCACACCAAACAUACACAGGAGCUUGACACAGUAGCUUUACACACAGCAGCCUUCACACUGAAGCUUCACACACACGAGGCCUUCAACUGGGGCUUCUCUCACUGAAGUUUCUCACAUCAGACCUUGCACUGCUUCUCACGCUAAGACCUACUAAGCUACAGGCACACCUGCUCAUAUUGAACUGCAGCUUUUGCUGAGUCAUUGCACCCAUUCAACCCCUUCAGUACUUGACUCACAUUUUUGUAAUGAGAAAUAACUAGCUAAUUGUUUAAUAUUUCUUGUACGUUUCUCCCCUUCGCCCUCCAUUUGUGCCUCUUCAAAAUCCAUGGCACUGUUGGUAAAGCUGGCCUUCAGUUAGAGGCUCGAGGGCCAGGGCUUCCAGGUCCAGGUGUUUAUGCCACACUUUUUAAGGCUAACUUUAAGCCUGUCUUUAAACCUGUCCGCUAACAUUCCGGUUUUGCAGUAUUUAUUUAUUUAUUUAUUUAUUGUGUCAGAAGCAAACUGAGGAUACAGUUGUACUGUAUUUGAAAACACAAAGUUCAAAGCUUGGCAUGAUACUAAAUGUCCUUUGACCAGAAUCUGGCCACUUGGAGUGAGUGCCUCUGGUGUGGCUGUGAGAAGGUCCUCCGUGGUGCACGCGGCAGGGCUCAGGCUGCAAUAGGUGGUCUGUGGUUGGCUCUUCUUCACCCUCGCAUGUCGUGGAUUCCACUUUGCUGCCCCAUUUCUGAAGGUUGGCUCUGCAUCUCAUGGUGCCAGAGCGCAGCCUGUUCAGUGCCUUCCAAGUCGCCCAGGAGGGAGUCUCAUUUGGUAUCAACCAUAGGUUGAGGUUCUGGGUUUUAGCCUGCCACUUUUGGACUCUCGCUUGAUGAGGUCUCCCUAAGAGCAUCUCUACAGAUCUUGGGAAGCUGUGUCUUGAUUUAAGGCGUUGGAGUGCUGGCUGAUAACCAAAGAGGGGAUGGGAUGGAGAUGUCACUGCCUUGGUCCUUUCAUUGCCGGCUGCUAACACUCACUGGUUUGACAUUUUAUUUAUUUAUUUAUUUGUUUAUUUACAGUAUUUAUAUUCCACUCUUCUCAACCCGAAGGGGACUCAGGGCGGAUUACAAUGAACACAUAUAUGGCAAACAUUCAAUGCUAACAGACAAACAACAUUCAGUUUUUAGACAGACACAGAGGCAUUUUUAACAUCUUUCCAGCUUCACGAUUCCGGCCUCAGGGGGAGCUGUUGCUUCACUGUCCAUUGGUGACUGUUCUUCCUCAUUCUUUUCCUCGUGAGCAGUUUUUUUAUGGUGUUGUAGAUUAGUUAAUUUAGCCUCCCGCAUAAAGCGUACCUAAAUUUUCCCUACUUGACAGAUGCAACUGUCUUUUGGGGCUGCUAGGUCAACAGCAAGCCGAGGCUAUUUUUUUUUUAUGGUCGGAGGCUUAACCCAACCCGGGCUUCGAACUCAUGACCUCUCGGUCAGUAGUGAUUUAUAGCAGCUGGUUACUAGCCAGCUGCGCCACAGCCCGGCCCCUCAGAGACAUCUGCUGGACUCUGAGGCUUUUCCGGUAGUGCAGCCAUACUGGUUUUUGACUAACC
This 3032-nucleotide long non-coding RNA is filed under the name Anolis carolinensis (green anole). RNAcentral's name for it is "lncRNA (ENSACAG00000042794.1)". Lineage: Eukaryota; Metazoa; Chordata; Lepidosauria; Squamata; Anolidae. The record is from RNAcentral.